RNAcentral lists this ribosomal RNA (583 nucleotides) under Saccharomyces cerevisiae (brewer's yeast). Its description in RNAcentral is "eukaryotic LSU rRNA". It matches the Rfam family "Eukaryotic large subunit ribosomal RNA", at positions 56 to 653 of the family's 3401-position model. The record is from RNAcentral. Lineage: Eukaryota; Fungi; Ascomycota; Saccharomycetes; Saccharomycetales; Saccharomycetaceae.
GAAAAGAAACCAACCGGGAUUGCCUUAGUAACGGCGAGUGAAGCGGCAAAAGCUCAAAUUUGAAAUCUGGUACCUUCGGUGCCCGAGUUGUAAUUUGGAGAGGGCAACUUUGGGGCCGUUCCUUGUCUAUGUUCCUUGGAACAGGACGUCAUAGAGGGUGAGAAUCCCGUGUGGCGAGGAGUGCGGUUCUUUGUAAAGUGCCUUCGAAGAGUCGAGUUGUUUGGGAAUGCAGCUCUAAGUGGGUGGUAAAUUCCAUCUAAAGCUAAAUAUUGGCGAGAGACCGAUAGCGAACAAGUACAGUGAUGGAAAGAUGAAAAGAACUUUGAAAAGAGAGUGAAAAAGUACGUGAAAUUGUUGAAAGGGAAGGGCAUUUGAUCAGACAUGGUGUUUUGUGCCCUCUGCUCCUUGUGGGUAGGGGAAUCUCGCAUUUCACUGGGCCAGCAUCAGUUUUGGUGGCAGGAUAAAUCCAUAGGAAUGUAGCUUGCCUCGGUAAGUAUUAUAGCCUGUGGGAAUACUGCCAGCUGGGACUGAGGACUGCGACGUAAGUCAAGGAUGCUGGCAUAAUGGUUAUAUGCCGCCCGUC